AUGGCGUCGGAGGCCGGCGCCGGCGUCGACGCGGACGCGUACCGCAUCCGGCCGCUCGAGCUCGGCGACCUCUCCAAGGGCUUCUGCGACCUCCUCGCGCAGCUCUCCCCCUCCGCGCCCCUCACCGAGGACUCCUUCCGCUCCCGCUUCGCUGAGCUCGCGGCCCUGGGCGCCGACCACCUCGUCCUCGUCGCGGAGGACGCCGGCACGGGCCGCAUCGCCGCAGCGGGGGCCGUGCUGGUGGAGCGCAAGUUCAUCCGGCGCUGCGGCACCGUGGGGCACGUCGAGGACGUGGUGGUGGACGCCGCGGCGCGCGGCCGGGGGCUCGGGGAGCGCGUCGUGCGCCGCCUCGUGGAGCACGCGAGGGCGAGGGGGUGCUACAAGGUCAUACUGAACUGCACCCCGGAGCUGAGGGGGUUCUACGCCAAGUGCGGAUUCGUGGAGAAGAACGUCCAGAUGGGGCUCUACUUCUGA
Molecule: ribosomal RNA, 474 nt
Filed under: Triticum aestivum (bread wheat)
Lineage: Eukaryota; Viridiplantae; Streptophyta; Magnoliopsida; Poales; Poaceae
Description: partial small subunit ribosomal RNA
Source: RNAcentral